CUAGAGUGGCGCCGUUCGGGUGUCCCGACCGGCGGUCGCUGGAAAGGAUGAAACGGGAAGCCGGUGCGUCGCCUCGCGACUAUUCCGGCACUGCCCCCGCAACGGUAAGCGACAGGAAGGCCUGAAGGUCUUUACGGGAACCGGCCAAACGCCACUGCGCAAGCGGGAAGGCGCCGGGUCCCGCCACGGCAGGUGGCUGACGCAAGUCCGGAGACCGGCCCGAUGCAUUCGCCUCGC
This 237-nucleotide non-coding RNA is filed under the name Luteibacter rhizovicinus. Lineage: Bacteria; Pseudomonadati; Pseudomonadota; Gammaproteobacteria; Lysobacterales; Rhodanobacteraceae. The record is from RNAcentral.